This 424-nucleotide ribosomal RNA is filed under the name uncultured bacterium. RNAcentral describes it as "partial 16S ribosomal RNA". It matches the Rfam family "Bacterial small subunit ribosomal RNA", at positions 354 to 796 of the family's 1533-position model. The record is from RNAcentral.
GUGAGGAAUUUUCCGCAAUGGGCGAAAGCCUGACGGAGCAAUGCCGCGUGAAGGAUGAAGGCCUAUGGGUUGUAAACUUCUUUUCUCAGAAAAGAAUUAUGACGGUAUCUGAGGAAUAAGCAUCGGCUAACUCUGUGCCAGCAGCCGCGGUAAGACAGAGGAUGCAAGCGUUAUCCGGAAUGAUUGGACGUAAAGCGUCUGUAGGUUGUUUAAAAAGUAUUCUGUCAAAGAUUAGGGCUUAACCCUAGAUAGGCAAUAAACUUUUAAGCUAGAGUUUGGUAGAGGCAGAGGGAAUUCCCGGUGGAGCGGUGAAAUGCGUAGAUAUCGGGAGGAACACCAAAGGCGAAGGCACUCUGCUGGGCCAAUACUAACACUGAGAGACGAAAGCGAGGGGAGCAAAUGGGAUUAGAUACCCGAGUAGUCC